GAUGAACGCUGGCGGCGUGCCUAAUACAUGCAAGUCGAGCGAACGGACGAGAAGCUUGCUUCUCUGAUGUUAGCGGCGGACGGGUGAGUAACACGUGGAUAACCUACCUAUAAGACUGGGAUAACUUCGGGAAACCGUAGCUAAUACCGGAUAAUAUUUUGAACCGCAUGGUUCAAAAGUGAAAGACGGUCUUGCUGUCACUUAUAGAUGGAUCCGCGCUGCAUUAGCUAGUUGGUAAGGUAACGGCUUACCAAGGCAACGAUGCAUAGCCGACCUGAGAGGGUGAUCGGCCACACUGGAACUGAGACACGGUCCAGACUCCUACGGGAGGCAGCAGUAGGGAAUCUUCCGCAAUGGGCGAAAGCCUGACGGAGCAACGCCGCGUGAGUGAUGUAGGUCUUCGGAUCGUAAAACUCUGUUACUAGGGAAGAACAUAUGUGUAAGUAACUGUGCACAUCUUGACGGUACCUAAUCAGAAAGCCACGGCUAACUACGUG
This 497-nucleotide ribosomal RNA is filed under the name uncultured bacterium. RNAcentral describes it as "partial 16S ribosomal RNA". It matches the Rfam family "Bacterial small subunit ribosomal RNA", at positions 28 to 507 of the family's 1533-position model. The record is from RNAcentral.